AAAAAGGCUCUUUUCAGAGCCGCCUACUUUACUAAAAAGAUCCUGU
This is a non-coding RNA of Monodelphis domestica (gray short-tailed opossum), 46 nucleotides long. NCBI's taxonomy places the organism in Eukaryota, Metazoa, Chordata, Mammalia, Didelphimorphia, Didelphidae. The record is from Rfam.